UCUACGUGGAUUUACAGUCUCGUCCCUGCUGCGACGGCGGCUGCAACUGCAAAAUACAGUGUCCGCUCAGGCAGGGCGAGCGAUGGUUAUGAUACCAGAACCGAGGACUGGACUUUCGGUUUGGAUUUAAGGAUUCUGAUGGAGAAUCGAGCUCAGCAAAAGGACUAUCUUCACUAUAACCACACUGAUCGCUGCAGAAAUGGGAGAUGGACUGCCAGUUCUCAUCUACAGAUAGGUCAUGAUCAUUAAUGAUGCCGAGACUCCAUUGAUUUACUACAUAGCAGAGUUAAACAGAGCUUCAGUUAAAGAUGGGACUUGGAGGUGGGCUAGGGCAACAUUUAAGAUUGUUCUUUCCUUCCAUGAGGUUUCUUUUUAUGGGUGGCAAAAGCAGCCAGGCUUGAAUACUGUUCAGGGCUUGGUAUAAAGAUCUCUAGGGAAGUUUGUAGAUGAGAAGAAAGCUCAGCUGCUGAAAGAUAGAUGCUUACCAACAGUAGGAUGUGCUGUGGGUUGCUUGCUGGGCGCACUGACAAAGGGGUGACAGCUCUGCGACACGGUUUAUUCUGUAUGUCGGCUUCUUAAUCUCUGUUGACAUGAAUUUUUGCUUGGAUAUUGAAUUUCAUUACUCUUCCUUGAUUUUCUUAGAUUCUAUCUCAGCUUAAAAAUGAACUCAUAUGUUAGAAUAAAUUUUAUCUUAUAUAUUAUUUAUUGACAUCUUUAAUAGUUGUGAUGAAUAGACAUGACUUGAUUGUCAUAUCCGUUUUCUGAAAUCCACUUUUGUUGUGCUUCACUAAAACACCCAAAUAGUCAAAUAGGUGACUUUGUCCCGACUGCUCUAUGCCCAAAGUGUUGGAAGGGUAUGUCAAAUAACUUGUGAGAAUGAUGAGGACCUUGUGUCGGCUGAUAAGCCUCAAACGUUUAGUGUAAGGAGGGUCAACCAACUACUUAGGAAACGAGAAGGAAAGUUAUUGUCGUACAAGAUGUUUGCACGUGUCACCAAAGCAUCAUGAAAUGAGUGAGAAUCAUGAAUUUUACCAAUUAUUUGCUCCUUUUUUGGAAGUUAUUCUAGCUUCUAGUUUAAGUAUCAUAAUUCUUUUUCUUCUUGGUUUAAUUCUAUUUAUUGCUUUCUUCUCAUAAAGACAUUUCUUCUUAUUCUGUUUUUGUUUUAAUUCUAUUGAGCCAAUAUGAAGUUUAUGUUGCAUUAUAGGAAUUAUUGUAAUGGAGGUUGGAGUUCUGAUUCAAACUAUAUUCAGCCAAUUAGUGUACUAUUGACAGGACCAAGGAGUAGGAAGAUGUGUUUAUGUGUGUUGAGCUGUUUGAUUGCUAAUUGCUUCUUGCAGAAGGUAUCGUCUCUGGGGUUGGCUAUGCUGAAGACUAUGUUGUACCGAACGUAAAAUUGGUCUAAUUAGAUUUGGGUUAUCCGUUCUCCAACUGCUUAAAAUGGAGGGUUAACAUCUUAUACAUCGGCAAGGGAAUCUCCCUUCCGUUUGAGCAAAUGGGGAUACAACCGUUAGGCCGUAAAUGGCUCUUUCACGUUUACAUGACACUAAUUAUUAUGUCUUCUGUGGAAUCCUUGUCCUUCAGCAGUUCAGCCAAUUAUAAUGGAACGUAAUGUAAGGAUGACCUUGCAGAUGGUACGGGUGCUUGUUGCGACAGCAAUUAGAGAGGCAGUUGCUGGUGCUUGAGAGGAUGCGUUAAUACGGCUGAUUGGUGCCACAUGUCGACGUGCCACUGUGUGCCACAUGUCGACGUGCCACUGUGUGCCACAUGUCGACGUGCCACUGUACCUCCGGCGCCUCCCGAUGGCCUCAGUCUUUUUGAUGUAGGUGGAGGCUAGUUUUUGGUUAGAUCAACUGUUUCAGAGGGAUGGGCCAGAGAUUCAAGCCUCUAGCGUUUCAGGGAAGUUACUCAUACUUCAUCCAUUUGAGCUAUAUUCAAAUCUUGUUUCCAUCUAUUUGAUUGAGGAAGUAAACUAUCUGACUAAUUUACUUCAUAUCCAAUUCCCAACUGGAGAGCACAAAUGAAUUGUUUAGCGAAGCUGUUUUAAUGGUCCGCCGGUCAUGGCUGCCUUGUAAGAAGAACCGAAGCACCCACUUCCUAGGAUCUCUGCAGAGGCUUUAAGCAAGUCUGAUAAAUCAAACUUCUCCAAGUCCUCUCUU
Non-coding RNA from Cucurbita pepo subsp. pepo (vegetable marrow), 2156 nucleotides. The record is from RefSeq and is a predicted model, not a curated record. NCBI's taxonomy places the organism in Eukaryota, Viridiplantae, Streptophyta, Magnoliopsida, Cucurbitales, Cucurbitaceae.